Molecule: ribosomal RNA, 301 nt
Filed under: uncultured bacterium
Lineage: Bacteria
Description: partial 16S ribosomal RNA
Rfam family: Bacterial small subunit ribosomal RNA
Source: RNAcentral
CAGCCGCACGGUAAUACGUAGGUGGCAAGCGUUGUCCGGAAUUAUUGGGCGUAAAGGGCUCGCAGGCGGUUUCUUAAGUCUGAUGUGAAAGCCCCCGGCUCAACCGGGGAGGGUCAUUGGAAACUGGGAAACUUGAGUGCAGAAGAGGAGAGUGGAAUUCCACGCGUAGCGGUGAAAUGCGUAGAGAUGUGGAGGAACACCAGUGGCGAAGGCGACUCUCUGGUCUGUAACUGACGCUGAGGAGCGAAAGGGUGGGGAGCGAACAGGAUUAGAUACCCCAGUAGUCCCUGUCUCUUAUACA